RNAcentral lists this transfer RNA (72 nucleotides) under Pangasius djambal. RNAcentral describes it as "tRNA-Glu". The record is from RNAcentral. Lineage: Eukaryota; Metazoa; Chordata; Actinopteri; Siluriformes; Pangasiidae.
UCCGUGGAGGAGUAGUGGUUAGACCAUGGCACUCUCACCACCGUGGCCCAGGUUCAAUUCCUGGCCAGGGAA